Nicotiana attenuata is the source of this 625-nucleotide long non-coding RNA. RefSeq lists it as uncharacterized. The transcript is spliced from 2 exons. The record is from RefSeq and is a predicted model, not a curated record. Lineage: Eukaryota; Viridiplantae; Streptophyta; Magnoliopsida; Solanales; Solanaceae.
ACACACAAUCAGCCAAAUGAGGAACCAGAGACAACCAACGACCAAGAUGUGGUCACUGCCAAAAGAUUGGUCAUGGGAAAAGCCAAUGUUUUGAGGUCAUAGGCUAUCCGGCAAACUGGAACACUAGAAGGUUAGGUGUUAAAAGGGUAUGGCAGGGGUCGAUCAAAUUUAGGGGAGGUACUGCCCGCGCUUCACAUUUUGCUUCUAUCAACAUGCAAUUGGUUCCAGAAUCCACCGAGAACCAAACUAAGGUACAGAUAGCAGGUUUCACUAUGGAGCAGAUCAAUCAGCUCUUUAACAUGUUUAAGGAGAAGCAACAAAAGGAUCCGAUUUCAACACAGAGUGGACCUUACUCUGAAGAAGCAAAUUGGAAAUGGUAAUCUCGCCAAUGGUGUCUACUACUGCAUCAAGCUGUAAUUUGGUAACUACUCAAAGGAAUGAAGAGAGUCUUUGGCACGCACGGAUGGGUCAUCCUUCACAUAAUAGCAUCCUGAAGAUAUCCACUUUAAUUGGUGUUAGUUUUAAUAAAUAUUUUACUUUGCCUUGUGAUUAUGCUAUAGAGCAAAACAAACAAGAGCUCUUUUUGAUAUUAAUAAGAAUGAAGAAUCUCAACCUUUUGCAUUAA